RNAcentral lists this ribosomal RNA (555 nucleotides) under Trichosporon asahii. RNAcentral's name for it is "eukaryotic LSU rRNA". It matches the Rfam family "Eukaryotic large subunit ribosomal RNA", at positions 66 to 609 of the family's 3401-position model. The record is from RNAcentral. Lineage: Eukaryota; Fungi; Basidiomycota; Tremellomycetes; Trichosporonales; Trichosporonaceae.
UAACAAGGAUUCCCCUAGUAACGGCGAGUGAAGCGGGAAGAGCUCAAAUUUGAAAUCUGGCAGUCUUCGAUUGUCCGAGUUGUAAUCUAUAGAGGCGUUUUCCGUGCCGGACCGUGUCCAAGUCUCCUGGAAAGGAGUAUCAAAGAGGGUGAUAAUCCCGUACUUAACACGACCACCGGUGCUCUGUGAUACGUCUUCUACGAGUCGAGUUGUUUGGGAAUGCAGCUCAAAAUGGGUGGUGAAUUCCAUCUAAAGCUAAAUAUUGGCGAGAGACCGAUAGCGAACAAGUACCGUGAGGGAAAGAUGAAAAGCACUUUGGAAAGAGAGUUAAACAGUACGUGAAAUUGUUGAAAGGGAAACGAUUGAAGUCAGUCGUGUUCUUUGGAUUCAGCCAGUUCUGCUGGUCUACUUCCUUGGAACGGGUCAACAUCAGUUUUGUCCGGUGGAUAAAGGUAGUAGGAAUGUGACUUCUCCGGAAGUGUUAUAGCCUAUUAUCACAUACACUGGGUGAGACUGAGGACUGCAGCUCGCCUUUAUGGCCGGCCUUCGGGCACG